Macrobrachium nipponense is the source of this 1010-nucleotide long non-coding RNA. RefSeq lists it as uncharacterized. The transcript has 2 exons. The record is from RefSeq and is a predicted model, not a curated record. NCBI's taxonomy places the organism in Eukaryota, Metazoa, Arthropoda, Malacostraca, Decapoda, Palaemonidae.
GCCUGCGUCGAAAACAAUGUUGGAUAGUGAAGAAGAAGAAGAAGAAGAAGCAGAAGAAAAAGAAGAAGAUACUGAUAAGCCGUAUAUAAACAGUGCAACUUGUUGCAACACUGCAUGAGUCUAGUGUGACAGCCUGGCUGCAAGGUAAACAUCUCAUCAGGGCUGCCAACUUCAUCAAGGCAUCGUUUCUCGUGAUGGCUACAAAGCUCCUCUUCGGCCUUUUCGUUUGGGGUCUUUGCUGUUUCAUCUGCUGCACGGACGCACUGAGCAGCGGACGACGAGCCGCUGUUCUCGACCUUCCUCACGUAGGGGCCAACGUCACCUGCGAGGAGGAACACAAGUGCAACGCCACAGGUCUCGUGGCCAUGUGCAACAAUUGCACGCGCUAUUUCUUUAGCUGCAGCGAAUCGCAGCUCGGAAAGCAAGCAACUGUUAAAAGGUGCCCGGGUACUACACGCUUCAGUUACAAUCCAGAUUGUCCCUUGUGUAUACUACAGGAAGACUGCGAAGCAAAUGUGUGCCCUACUUCUGCGCCUGCGUCACGUGUCCAGGUUGACCCGAGGACGCGGAGCCAGGAUAAACCUAGGCCUAGGAACAUAGUUGAUGUCUCCGACUGAGCUUGAUUCUUGCCGAUUACAUUUAGGGAUUGGAAUCGUUUCUCUUUUUUUUUUUUCUGGUUAUGCUGAUACACUGACGAGAUUUACUGGUUUACGAUGCUCCCUUUGUUCUAACGAUCGAUUGCUUUUGUUUGGUUUGGUCAUAUAGGGUUGCAUAAUGGCAAUUUAUAAUUAUAUUCAACUAUCUCGAGACAACUGUGGUAAUAUGUACUUUGCGAUUGAAGCGUGGGGUCACCAUAGCUAUUACGAUAAAUUGUUUUUAUUUCAUUAUUAAUUUCAUAAUGAACAGAUUUCUUGUAUAGUUAUCCUACUGUUUAAAAAAAACCUGACAUUGUUAUGGUUUUAUAAAAGACUGUAAUCUUUCAAUUAAUAAACUAUGAUGUACUACAGAAA